Long non-coding RNA from Oryzias melastigma (Indian medaka), 1462 nucleotides. RefSeq lists it as uncharacterized. NCBI's taxonomy places the organism in Eukaryota, Metazoa, Chordata, Actinopteri, Beloniformes, Adrianichthyidae. The transcript is spliced from 4 exons. The record is from RefSeq and is a predicted model, not a curated record.
AUUGGUAAGAAGUUACUGAUGUGCUUAGACUUUCCACCUUUGAUCAGAGGAAAUGUCUCUGGCAGCUUGUCCAGGAUGGACCCUGCCUUUGGCCAAUAGCUGGAACAGAUUCCAGAAAACCCCUCCUCAUAAUGAGGCAGACAUAGACUAAAUGAAAUACAAAAACAUCUUACCCAGUGAGGUGUAAGGUGCAGAAUUAAUAGUACCUAUGAGUAUUAAAAAAAUGACAGGGGAAAAUUAAUAAAUAUUGGUCUGUUAUAUUCACAGUUUAUUGAUAGAAAAAUUCAUCAUAAACCUUCAGUAUUCCGGGACAGAAAAGUGGAUGCAGCUUCUCAGUAAGGUUGGCUGUUGGAUGGCCCCCUCUGUCACCAAAUUGUCUCUUCAAUUUAUUGCCAAACCCUGUCUGGCUCUCCUCGCUGUGUCAUGAAAUCGAUCUCUGCAUUGGGAUGUGAUCUUUAGUAGUCUGGGCAGCUUUUCAGCAAAUUGGAAGCCUCCUAAACUCAUUUAAAAUCAUUUGGAGUAGGUAGCUUGUUUGCACUGUUUUAUAUAUAUAUUUACUCAGCCUUCUUUUUGUUUUUUUGCAGUAAAAAGCUUUUUUUAGGGACAUUACACAACUGAUUUCAGCAUUGAAAAGAUCAACACUCAGAUUAUGUGCAGCUUCUGCUCACACAUUAGUUUGGACAUUUACUGGUAAUUGGAACCAGGUGAAGUCAAUUAAACACACAUCGUUCAGAUGUGCAGGAUUGUAGAAAGAAGCAUGUUUUGAUCUUUGCUUAAAGUUAAAGUUAACUAGAAGGAGAAACUCCAGUUUAAGAGUAUAAAACAUCAAAAUAAUUUGCUGAUUUUUUUCCAAGACUUGUUAAGAUCAAUAAAAGGAUGCUCUCCAGGUCCAGAGGCCGGCUGCACCAUGACGGCUGCUGCACGAUAGGGUGAGAAGAUAUGGAAGGACAAGCUCAAACCUCACCAGCUGGCUGUCAACCCUCUGUAACACCUCUUCAUGUCUGCCCCCGUCAGGACCUGCACACUGGAGGGGCUCAGGCUGUCACUGCACUGCUACUUUUAACAAUGUCUCCUAUACAGACGAAAUUUCCUCAAGCUGAUACCAACCCAACACGCACAGCUGCUCCAGAAGAAAGAACCCAGACAAUCACAUUACAUCAUAAACAGAAAUGUUGCAAUUGCUCUACCUGUUCUGAUAUUGCAAGAAAUGUGCAGCAUCUGGUGAGCGCCUGUAACCCGAUUAGCACCGUGCAUUCAUCGCUGUGAUGUAUCAUGAUAUUUAUAUUAAUUACUUCACUGUAGAUGGAACAUGUCAAAACAGGAGAGGGAGCCAAAAGCUGAUGUGACAGGCUGCUGGAAAAAUAUGUGUAAGGAAAAAAACGUUCACGGACAGCAGAUGCUAUGAACGACAUUCAAUUAAACAUUCAAAAGCAUUAUGAGGCUAAUUCUAUUUAAUGUAACU